This is a non-coding RNA of Podarcis lilfordi (Lilford's wall lizard), 75 nucleotides long. NCBI's taxonomy places the organism in Eukaryota, Metazoa, Chordata, Lepidosauria, Squamata, Lacertidae. The record is from the annotation of a GenBank genome assembly.
UGUGGCAAUAGUUCAGUCAGCAGAGCAUGAGAAUCUUAAUCUUGGGGUCGUGGGUUCGAGCCCCACAUUGUGCAA